Molecule: ribosomal RNA, 483 nt
Filed under: uncultured bacterium
Lineage: Bacteria
Description: partial 16S ribosomal RNA
Rfam family: Bacterial small subunit ribosomal RNA
Source: RNAcentral
AUUGAACGCUGGCGGCAGGCCUAACACAUGCAAGUCGAGCGGAUGAAGGGAGCUUGCUCCUGGAUUCAGCGGCGGACGGGUGAGUAAUGCCUAGGAAUCUGCCUGGUAGUGGGGGAUAACGUCCGGAAACGGGCGCUAAUACCGCAUACGUCCUGAGGGAGAAAGUGGGGGAUCUUCGGACCUCACGCUAUCAGAUGAGCCUAGUCGGAUUAGCUAGUUGGUGGGGUAAAGGCCUACCAAGGCGACGAUCCGUAAAUGGUCUGAGAGGAUGAUCAGUCACACUGGAACUGAGACACGGUCCAGACUCCUACGGGAGGCAGCAGUGGGGAAUAUUGGACAAUGGGCGAAAGCCUGAUCCAGCCAUGCCGCGUGUGUGAAGAAGGUCUUCGGAUUGUAAAGCACUUUAAGUUGGGAGGAAGGGCAGUAAGUUAAUACCUUGCUGUUUUGACGUUACCAACAGAAUAAGCACCGGCUAACUUCGUG